RNAcentral lists this long non-coding RNA (4345 nucleotides) under Salvia miltiorrhiza (redroot sage). RNAcentral's name for it is "long non-coding RNA (SMIL_LNC005113)". Lineage: Eukaryota; Viridiplantae; Streptophyta; Magnoliopsida; Lamiales; Lamiaceae. The record is from RNAcentral.
CCCAAUUAAAAUAAAUAUAGCAGCCCAUACCUAUUAAAUAAUGAGGCCCAGAGUUUAAUUAACAGAUAAGGCCCAGCUCAAUUUUUUUGAGGCCCAGCUCAAUUAAAAACACAACCCAGUAAUAAAUAAAUCGGACCCAACAGCCCAUCUCCAAUUCCUUCUUCUUCAACCUCAUGUUGAAAAACCGCUCAAUCUCUCGCUCUCGGCUCACACACAGGCACAAACCGGCCGCCGCCGCUACCCCAUCGUUACGCACGACUCAUUUUCACUCUGCCCGUCUUCGUCUACUCUCCCCCGACGUGACAGCUAACGGCGGCAGCGAAGGAGCCGCCGCCUGAAGCCCAGACUCUGGACGACUGUAGCAGCUUCCUGCCACCGCCGCCCUCUACUCCUUUAUUUCCAGGCAGGCCCUCCUCCUCGUGACUCGAGGAGGACAACUCAACAACGGAAUCAAAGCUCAAGAACACGAAGAAUCCCCUCUGUUUUAUAAAUCUAUACGGAGCCCUUGUCAUUACAAGGCUCAGAUUUCAUUUCAUUAUAUAGUAUAUUCUUCUCUUAUUCAGUUUCUUACACAUGUUAAAGUAAAGAGUUCACACGUAUAGUAUAUGAAAUGCUUAGUCGAUGUUUACUGCUUUUGAAACGAAGUGAAACAUGAGGCGUGAUUAAAAGAUUGAAGUAGAACCUCGUGGGUUUGUGGUUGUUUGUGCUUGGUAAUAUGCUGUGAAUCUGUGGGAUGGAGUUCUUGCAGUUCGGCAGAAUGUAAUUUGAGAUUUUCUUGGUGUGUUUAUUUAUUUGAGUCCUUGGCUUGGCUGAUAAUAUAGAAAGUAAGCAGUGGUGUGGAGGUGACGGCCUAACACAACAGUUAGCUGCUGUUCUUUCUGGCGGAGGUAUAGGUAAAUUAUGGCCUAGACUGAAUUUGAGCAUGUUAAUGGGAAAAGACAAAAACUUAAAAUUAUAAAAUAAAUCAAAAACAUAUAAUUUUGAGUGACUUUGGUUGGCUAGCAGUAUAAGAGCAUCCGCAUUGGGGGUUCCUUGGUAACCUAGUUGAUAGCCUACUUGAUAGUAUUUGUGUUAUUGAGUAGGUAGUGCUGCAUUGGGGUUACUUGAUAGCCUACUUGAUAAUAUUAGUUUUGAUUUUAUGUUUUUCAUUUAAAUUUAAUUGCUCAAAUUUAAAUAACACAAUUUAUUUCAAAUUUAAAUUGCAUUAAUUAUAAAAUCCUAAAUAUUACAUAAAACUUUAAUAAAAUAAAAAAACAAAAAAAAACAAAAUAAAAACAGCCAUUGAAAAUUAAAAUAUAUAUAUUUUUUUUAUUUGAGGCUCGAGUACUACCCGAUUACUCGAGUAGUACUCGAGGAGACAUUAGUUGCAACGCCAUGCUCGAGGAUGGUACAUUACUCGAGUGAUGCUCGAGGAGCCCGCGAUGCGGGUGCUCUAAGAGCAUUGGCAUCGGCAUCCUCGAUGCCUUACUCGAACUCGAGUAUUGCAUUCGAGUAGGCGAUGCAGGGAGGAGCUACUCGAGUUUUUGAGUAUGCUCGAGUGAUUUUUUUUUUUAAUUCUCUUCUCCUCUUUAAAAAUUUCUCUCUCCUCUUUAAAAACUAAAAAAAUCAAGUAGACUAUCAAGGAACCCCAAUGCAGCACUACCUACUCAAUAACACAACCACUAUCAAGUAGGCUAUCAAGUAGGCUAUCAAGGAACCCCCAAUGCGGAUGCUCUAAAUAAGAUGAAGGUUGGGUUGUGUAUUUGAAGGAAAGAAAAAUAAAUAUUUUAAUUGAGGGUUGGGUUGAAGGAAAGUCACUAAUGGGGAUGAUUAGACAUGAGUGAAGGGGGAGAAAUGAUGUUGAUAAAAAAGUGUUUUAAAAGUUAUGACGAUGAUGAGACAAUUAAAAACUCUUGAUAUAAGAGUUUGGAUCUUUAACAAUUCUUCAUGGUUUUGUUUUGCUAAUUCAAAACACUCGUGCUCAAUUUAAAUAAAUAUGCAAUGCAUAAGAAUUUAAAUAACUAAAUUUACAAAUAUAUUUUUGUAAAUCGUCUUUGUUGGAAUUAAAAUAAAUUCAUUUUCUUUUAUUCGGCGUGAAUCAUCUUCCUAUCUAAGUUCAAAAUUUUUUCUAAACUUAGCUCGAGGAAACGGGGUAUUACAAUUUGUUCGGCGAUAGUUUGUAAGAUUUGAUUUGAAUAAUUAUUUUGGUCGUGGAGUUUUUUGAUAUCACUCAUUUUUGGACCAUCUUCUCCGUCUCUUCCAGUACGAAAUGGAGUAGCAGAUAUUUCUCCAUUAGGAAUUUGUAUUUUGAUAUUUUGUAGAGGAGGAUGAAUGGAAGUUAAUAUAGAACCAGUAGCUAAUUUUCAUUUUUUAUAAAGGUUUGUUUGAACAUUUAUUUGAUCCAGAUUGUAGACAUUAUUAAUAUCAUUAAGCNAAUAUAGAGUCAGCCACUACUUAGCCAUUAAACUUGAAUUGAAGAAGAGAGUAAACCUUGUUGUAAAAAUCAGUCUACUUGAUUUAUAAACACUCUCUUAGAAGUGUCUAGGCAAUCACAUUCUUACAUCAUUAGUCUAGUCCUUGAUUACUCGAGAACCUGUUCUCAGUAAUCUUAGUUGGAAGAUUUUCAAACCCCUUUUCAACCGAGAGAAAAGAGCGUUUGAGUGUAAGAGUUUUAGACGGUUGUCUAAACUCGAGAGUUUCCAGUCCUCACAAACUAGACGAGUGAAGUCUUAGCAUUUUUGUAAGAUUGAAAGAAGAAGAGAAACCCAACCCAGUGCGUUGGUACUGAAACGGUUGUUUCAGUUGUUAGGUUUGUUGUACACCCGUAAGCACAGGUGUAAUCGAUUGUCAGUGUGAUCAACUGAUCGUGGACGUAAGAAAAGGUUUUUCGAACCACGUUAAAAAUCUAUGUGUUAUUUACAGCUUUCAGUAAUUCAUAUCUUAUCUGUGCACUACAACUAUAUACUGAACCUGUUAAUUUGAAAAGAGAAACAUUAAAAUUGACAAUCUGAUUCACUAAAGGCUAUUUCCUUAAAUCGUUUCCGCUCACCAAGUGUUAUCAGUCUAACUGACAAACAUUUGGGUAGUCAAUAAGAUUUAUAACACUUGCUCUGAUUUGCAACUGUUUAGACUGAAGCCUUAUCUGAACUAUCAGUUUGUCGACUUGUUCUUCAUACUGAAGUUAACUACUGAAUCAUUAUCAGUAUCAGUCUACCCCUUCUUUCAACUGAACUUGUUUUUCACUGAUCACGUUUACAUUACUCUUUUCAGUCAAAGAAAGAAGUUCAAAAUUUUUAAAAUAGCCUACUGGUGUAUUUCCCCCUCCCCCAUCAGUUCAGUGACCUUCCGGGAUCCAACAAUUGGUAUCAGAGCAGGUUGUUCGCAAGAACAAACUGCUUUGACCCGGUUCUACUGAACUAGAUCCUUUUAAGGGAUUACAAACUUUUCAAAAAAGUUUCCUCCGUGCUAACUACGUAUUGUUAUUAUGCAGAUCAUUCGUUAAAAAUAACUAAUCAAACUUAGCUAUAAAGUCUAAUACUCCCUCCGUCCGCCAAGAUUAUGGCAAUUUGCUUGGGCACGGGAUUUAAUAAAAUUGAUGAUGAUUUUGAUGUAGUGGAGAAAGGGUCCCACCACUUUAUGAGAUGAGUGGUUGAGAUUGAAUUUUGAGUGGUUUUUUUGUAAAUAAAAAGUGUUAGUAAGGAUAAAAUAUUAAAGAGGAUGGUGGGACCAUUGCCAUAAAAGGAAAAUGACAUAAUCUUGGCGGACGCCCGAUAUAGUAAUUGUGACAUAAUCUUGGCGGACGGAGGGAGUAAUUAAAAUAGGACAGGCCACACUUUAAGAAAAUAUGCUCAGCCCAUAUUUAAAUGCAGAUUGGCCCAAUUAAAAUAAAUAGAGCAGCCCACACCUAUUAAAUAAUGAGGCCCAGAGUUUAAUUAACAGAUAAGGCCAAGCUCAAUUUUUUUUAGGCCCAGCUCAAUUAAAAACACAACCCAGUAAUAAAUAAAUGGGACCCAACAGCCCAUCUCCAAUUCCUUCUUCAGCCUCAUGUUGAAAAACCGCUCAAUCUCUCGCUCUCGGCUCACACACAGGCACAAACCGGCCGCCGCCGCUACCCCAUCGUUACGCACGACUCAUUUUCACUCUGCCCGUCUUCGUCUACUCUCCCCCGACGUGAAAGCUAACGGCGGCAGCGAAGGAGCCGCCGCCUGAAGCCCAGACUCUGGACGACUGUAGCAGCUUCCUGCCACCGCCGCCCUCUACUCCUUUAUUUCCAGGCAGGCCCUCCUCCUCGUGACUCGAGGAGGACAACUCAACAACGGAAUCAAAGCUCAAGAACACGAAGAAUCCCCUCUGUUUUAUAAAUCUA